This 667-nucleotide unclassified non-coding RNA is filed under the name Hevea brasiliensis (rubber tree). Lineage: Eukaryota; Viridiplantae; Streptophyta; Magnoliopsida; Malpighiales; Euphorbiaceae. The record is from RNAcentral.
GUUCAAUAAACUUAGUCAUUUCUUCUCGAUCAUACGGAGCUAAUUUCAUCCUUGUGAGCUUUACCUUAUGGGGAAGAUUCGGGACAACGAAAGGUUCUGUAUCCGAACACACAUUCUUCUGAGGCUUGUAAUGCCUAAGGUUCUCCAAAGCACAAAGCGCAAAGAAGCCCAUCCCAUGAAAUACCAAUCUUGGGAUAUCAAAUUUGGCAGCAGAUUCUGUAGCCCAGGGGAAGAACAUGUCAGCAACGAGAGCGUUGGGUUGACAUUCAUGGAGUAAUAGCUCUAGUUGUUGUUGAAGCAUGGUGGUGGCCUUGAAGAAUUUGGGUACCAAAUCAUCAGAAGUCAAUUGAUCCAUUCUUUCACAUCCUUCAGGCAAACCAGCUUCCACUGCUGGGAAUCUGAUAGCUUUGACAUAAAUUUCCAGCCCCAAAUGUUUGAUUUUUUCACUGGAUUGAACGAAGAUGGGUAAGUUCAGAGGAGUGGUGAUAAUAGUUGCCUUUGCACCAUGUGAAACGAACAACUUCGCCAUAUCCAAAGUAGGAAUUAUGUGGCCGUGCGCCAUCAAUGGAAAGAAAAAAAUAUGGAGCUGAUCAUCAGCCAUUUUCACAAACACUUGGUCUGCGUGGUUUAAUAUAACAAUUUGUGCUAUAAAUGUACAGAGGAUUUG